AGAGGUACACACUUACUUUCCCGUUCUGCCUUGGUUGAAACUGGUGUUACAUCUUUUAUGGAUUGGUUAUCAAGAAUUAUUUGUAAAUUUUUAUAUUAUAACGGGGGAGGUUUUCUAUAAUCGAAUUGUAAAUUCACGAUGAUGAAGAUGAUACUUCUUAAAAGACAUCUUCUUCAGUUAAGGGCCUAGGGACUUCUCUGUAUUAGGAGGAAGCUGAAAUUGUCUCUUCAUAUUGAUUAGUACACGAUGUUCUUGCAAAAUGUUCCAAUGAGUCAUCAUCUUUUGGAGGCUGUCCUAUAGUCGCUACUGUUGCUGGGCUAUAAUUUGGUCAUCACUGUUGAGACUCUUGCA
RNAcentral lists this long non-coding RNA (351 nucleotides) under Trifolium pratense (red clover). Its description in RNAcentral is "long non-coding RNA (TPRA_LNC013179)". Lineage: Eukaryota; Viridiplantae; Streptophyta; Magnoliopsida; Fabales; Fabaceae. The record is from RNAcentral.